GACGAACGCUGGCGGCGUGCUUAACACAUGCAAGUCGAACGGAAAGGCCCCUUUGGGGGUACUCGAGUGGCGAACGGGUGAUUAACACGUGAGUAACCUGCCCUUGACUUCGGGAUAACUUCAGGAAACUGGGGCUAAUACCGGAUAGGAAUCCUUGCUGCAUGGUGGGGGUUGGAAAGCUUCGGCGGUUUUGGAUGGACUCGCGGCUUAUCAGCUUGUUGGUGGGGUAGUGGCUUACCAAGGCUUUGACGGGUAGCCGGCCUGAGAGGGCGACCGGCCACAUUGGGACUGAGAUACGGCCCAGACUCCUACGGGAGGCAGCAGUGGGGAAUAUUGCACAAUGGGCGGAAGCCUGAUGCAGCAACGCCGCGUGCGGGAUGACGGCCUUCGGGUUGUAAACCGCUUUCAGCAGGGGCGAAGCUUGUGGUGACGGUACCUGCAGAAGAAGCACCGGCUAACUACGUG
This 465-nucleotide ribosomal RNA is filed under the name uncultured bacterium. RNAcentral describes it as "partial 16S ribosomal RNA". It matches the Rfam family "Bacterial small subunit ribosomal RNA", at positions 28 to 507 of the family's 1533-position model. The record is from RNAcentral.